ACCCUCUCAGGGUCGCACCCGGAGAGUUUCCACUACUCUACCAGCCUCGAUUAAGGGAGGGAGGGUCAAGCAGAGGCCUGCCCAUUCCAUUCCUAGCUUGGCCAGUGGCUGGCGAGUGGAAAGCCAUCUGCUACAAGU
Non-coding RNA from Ornithorhynchus anatinus (platypus), 138 nucleotides. The record is from Rfam. NCBI's taxonomy places the organism in Eukaryota, Metazoa, Chordata, Mammalia, Monotremata, Ornithorhynchidae.